Molecule: ribosomal RNA, 470 nt
Filed under: uncultured organism
Description: partial 16S ribosomal RNA
Rfam family: Bacterial small subunit ribosomal RNA
Source: RNAcentral
ACUCCUGCGGGAGGCAGCAGUGGGGAAUUUUGGACAAUGGGCGAAAGCCUGAUCCAGCAAUGCCGCGUGAGUGAAGAAGGCCUUCGGGUUGUAAAGCUCUUUUGUCAGGGAAGAAACGGUGAGAGCUAAUAUCUCUUGCUAAUGACGGUACCUGAAGAAUAAGCACCGGCUAACUACGUGCCAGCAGCCGCGGUAAUACGUAGGGUGCAAGCGUUAAUCGGAAUUACUGGGCGUAAAGCGUGCGCAGGCGGUUUUGUAAGUCUGAUGUGAAAUCCCCGGGCUCAACCUGGGAAUUGCAUUGGAGACUGCAAGGCUAGAAUCUGGCAGAGGGGGGUAGAAUUCCACGUGUAGCAGUGAAAUGCGUAGAUAUGUGGAGGAACACCGAUGGCGAAGGCAGCCCCCUGGGUCAAGAUUGACGCUCAUGCACGAAAGCGUGGGGAGCAAACAGGAUUAGAUACCCCAGUAGUCCC